This 253-nucleotide ribosomal RNA is filed under the name uncultured bacterium. RNAcentral describes it as "partial 16S ribosomal RNA". It matches the Rfam family "Bacterial small subunit ribosomal RNA", at positions 524 to 776 of the family's 1533-position model. The record is from RNAcentral.
UACGUAGGGGGCAAGCGUUGUCCGGAUUUAUUGGGCGUAAAGAGCGUGUAGGCGGCUUGGUAGGUCCGCUGUGAAAACUCGAGGCUCAACCUCGAGAUGUCGGCGGAAACCACUUGGCUAGAGUCCGGAAGAGGCGAGUGGAAUUCCUGGUGUAGCGGUGAAAUGCGCAGAUAUCAGGAGGAACACCUAUGGCGAAGGCAGCUCGCUGGGACGGUACUGACGCUGAGACGCGAAAGCGUGGGGAGCGAACAGG